Molecule: long non-coding RNA, 26345 nt
Filed under: Arabidopsis lyrata
Lineage: Eukaryota; Viridiplantae; Streptophyta; Magnoliopsida; Brassicales; Brassicaceae
Description: long non-coding RNA (ALYR_LNC000844)
Source: RNAcentral
AUAUUUACAUCUCUUACAAUAAGCAGUGGUUGCAAGAACUGAUUGAUUGAUUUAUAUUCUAGGCUUGGAGUCUAUGGAGUAAGGGAACAGCAUUGGACCUCGUGGAUCUAAUUAUUAUAGAUAAUUGCCAAAAGAGUGAAGUAGCUCGAUGCAUCCAUAUAUGUCUUUUAUGUGUUCAAGAAGAUCCUGAGGAGCGUCCGAUCAUGUCAACCAUUUUUAUGAUGCUCACUAAUGAUACUGUGACUUUACCAGUGCCUCAACAACCAGGAUUUUUCGUUCAGAGUUGACCUGAAAAAGACCCGCUUGAUUUAAAUCAACCAACGACCACCACCAAUUCUGUUCCAAGGUUUAUUGACGGUGCAUCAAUCCCACCUAAGUAUAUCCUCGUUGAAUAUGGUGUUAACAUUCAAGUUAACCUUGAAGACAAAAUAAGAACUUUUUUCAAUUUGUUAAAGCAAUAUUUACAUAUUUUUAGAGGUGGUUAUCCAUUUUAUUGUUUUCUUUUGAUUUGGAUUUCUUGUUUGAAACUGAAAUCAGAUAAAACUAUUGUAAUUAAAUUUGGUUGUGAUGUUGUUUGAUGGAGAACCCUAAUAUGUCCUUUCCAAGCUUUGAACACCUUUUACCGAGUUUAGUGCAUGGUUGAUUUUGAAAUUUGAUCGAGUUCAGUGAUUUGGUACGUUUAAAUUUAGUUAAAGAUAACCUUUUUUCUUUCAUUAUUAGAUCAGUAAUGUCCAACCGCACAAUGGUCGCAGAAGUGGACCGUUAACCACUUGAAAUCUUGACUCAGCAAAACCUAGAUAAUGACAUGCUUGACUUACACUACUUCGAUCAAUAUUAAUUUCGGUUGUAUUUGAACAACAAAUUUUUGAUUAAAAUCGGUAUAGUAUCAAAUCUGUAUAUACAAAAAUUGAUGCGCCUUUUUCCCACGAAUUAGGGUUUGUAAUGGCGAUACGAUUUUAGAUUGCUUGAUUCGUUAGAUUGAAGCUCACCGUUCUUUAGUCAAUGACAUUUAGGUGUUCAUUCGUAUGUGUAGACACCACUGAUUGCUGCUUUCGCCACUCUGUUCGGGGCAGAGCUCUGCGUGAAAAUUGGUUUCAUCGAGUUAAAUUCUCAUCUUUCAUUAAUGACCAUCAUGAUCUUCCUUCUGUAUUUGUCACAUCUAAAUUCUGUUUUUUUUUUUUUUUUUAAUGAUUCCAAAAGAGAGGAGACUCAAGUCUCCGUUUACUUAAGAUUUAAAUUAUUGACGCUUGUUUUAGGACCGUGUAAGCAGGUUUAAAGACCACUGUUAUCAGUUUGACGAAUUCAACACUUGGAAAAUUUUAGAGAAAAAUCUUCGGUUUGCUUUGUCUCUGACGUGUGUUGCUUACUCAACCGAAAUUGUAAAUGAGUCAACGGAGAUUGAUUUUUCUAUUGAUGGUCCACACUCUACGUAACUUCUUUUUGUUUUUUUUUUUAUAAAGGUGAUAGGUCCACAUAACUUCUAGCAGACGUUUAAUUGACGAGGACAUGUUUAUAGACAAAAAAAAAAAGGUAUGCAUAUUAUUCAUACCUGCUUGCUGUCCUAAUCUAAAUAUCAUCUGUAUGAUCCUGAAAAUGGAAUUGAAGAAUCUCUUGCCAAUCUUCUGGUUUCUCCUUAUAGGCUUUACUGUUGUGUUUGCACCAGAAUGCGGAAAAACUGGGGUUUUUGUACCAAAUGGUAGGUAUGACAAGAACCGUGGCCUUCUCCUCUCUUCUCUUGCUUCUAAUGUUUCAGCUCAAAGUGGCUACUUCAAUACUUCGAUUGGCCAAGGCCCGGAUCGUCGAGUGUACGCUCUAGGGAUGUGCAUUCAAGGUGCUGAACCAGAGGUUUGCUACAACUGUAUUGACUUUGCGUCUAAUCUGUUAUUAGACAGCUGUCCCAACCAGACGGAAGGCCUGGCCUGGUCUGAAAAACGGGUUGUGUGUAUGGUACGGUACUCCAAUAUUUAUUUUUUUGGAUCACUCACGAUAGAACCGCAUUUUCCUACCCCAAGUCAGGAAGAUAUCAGAUCCAAUUUAGCAGAGUUUGAUAAAGCGUGGGAAGUGUUAACAAGUGGUAUGAUAGCUAAUACUACUUCGCCAUCAUCUAAAAGCAAUUCGAUUUUAAAACGAUUGAAGCUGCAACAAACAAAUUCUCGGAGAGCAAUAUAAUUGGCCGUGGUGGAUUUGGAGAAGUUUUCAAGGUAUCAUUUUAUCAUUUCUAGGAGCACCUAAUUCUAAAUUUAUGUAAGAAGUUUGCAGAAGGGAUCCAGACAAUGAGAUGAUGUUGUCUAAUUCUUUGUAGGCUGUCCUCAACGGGACUGAAGUUGCAAUUAAGAGGCUGUCAAAAUCAUCAAACAAGGUGCACAUGAGUUCAAGAACGAGGUUGUUGUUGUUGCAAAACUUCACCAUAGGAAUCUUGUUAGGCUUCUCGGUUUUUGUUUGGAAGGAGAAGAAAAGAUACUUGUUUACGAGUUUGUUCCCAACAAGAGCCUCGAUUACUUCCUCUUUGGUUUGUGGAAUUAGCAAAUUAUAUGUGUUCAUUAUAUUUUUGACAAGCUUCUCUUACUGAAAUCUGAAGUAGCUAAUAACUGCUUUUCUAUGUGCAGACCCAAUGAAGCAAGGAGAGUUAGACUGGACAAAACGGUACAACAUUAUCCUAGGAAUCACUCGAGGAAUUUUAUAUCUUCAUCAAGACUCACGGCUCACAAUCAUACACCGUGACCUCAAAGCCAGCAACAUUCUUCUAGAUGCCAAUAUGAACCCAAAAAUUGCUGAUUUUGGAAUGGCGAGAAUAUUUGGGAUCGACCAAAGUGGAGCUAAUACAAACAGAAUAGCUGGAACACGGUAUAUGCCUAUUACCCUUGUUAUGGCCUAUGUACUGACGCUUCAAGAAUCUUUUCUUCGCUGGUAAAUGGUAAUGUACGUAAUUUCGCUUGUGUUUUACUAUUGCAGCGGUUACAUGCCCCCAGAAUAUGUGAUGCAUGGCCAAUUCUCAACAAAAUCUGAUGUAUAUAGUUUUGGAGUAUUGGUUCUUGAGAUUAUAUGCGGUCAAAAUAACAGAUUCGUCCACCAGUCAGACACUACAGCUGAGAAUUUGGUGACAUACGUGAGUACCAAAGAAGAACUCUGUUCUGGACUAAUGAUUAAAUGAUAAAUUGUGGUUUUGACUAUAUGUUCUUGAAUGAUAACUAAAUUAUGUUACAGGCUUGGAGGUUGUGGAGAAAUGGGUCACCAUUGGAACUCGUGGAUCCAACCAUUUCAGAGAAUUGUGAAACCGAAGAAGUGAUAAGCUGCAUCCACAUUGCACUACUAUGUGUUCAACACAGUCCCACUGAUCGUCCCAGCUUGUCGACAAUCAACAUGAUGCUCACUAACAAUUCGUAUGUUUUACCUGAUCCUCAACAACCUGGAUUCUUCUUUCCAAAUAAAAGCAACAAAGAACGAGAUGGCCUCGAGUCUAGCCAGUCUACGAACAGGUCUAGUUCCCAAACUAUCAAUGAUGUAACCAUCACAGAUCUUGAACCUCGUUGAAGUUGAGAUUACAUUGACCAGACAUUAGUUCCAUUGAAAUGGUUAUGUAUGAUAUGUGAGAUAAACUCAAUCAAAGUAAGUUCAUAUAAAUUCUUCAUCAUUGCUACAUUGUAAUAUCAGCUCUAUGUUAUGGAAAUCUUAGGAAUUGUAGUUAUGAGUCCAGAAAUUUGAUCAAUAAACCCAAGGGACUUUCUAACUAUUGAUGUAAAAUUAAUGCGUUGGGUCAACUUUGAUGUUAACUGAAAUUAGGUUUUAAUUUGUGUUCAGGUUAAUUUACUAAACCGGGAAUUUAAGCUAUAUUGUGACUUAUGGUUCCUUCUCUCGUUACGAGUCACCUUUUGAGAAAUUUUCUCUUUUAGCAAUACUCUGUUUUAGUUUUAAGGGAUUAGGGCUUAGCAGUAGGCCUGGGCAUUCGGGUACCCGUUCGGGUUCGGUUUUUUUUUUCGGGUAUCGGGUCUAUUCGGGUAGGGGGUCAAGACCCAUUCGGGUAUUCUAAAAAUUCGGUUCGGGUUCAGUUCGGGUUCGGGUCGGUUCGGGUAUUUUAAUAAAAAAAGCAAAAUACCCGAAAAUAACCAAAAAUACCCAAAAUAUUUUUGGGUUCGGGUCGGUUCGGGUAUUUUAAUAAAAAAAGCAAAAUACCCGAAAAUAACCAAAAAUACCCAAAAUAUUUUUGGGUUCAGGUCGGCUUCGGGUUUUUAACUCAUAUAUACCCAAAUCUAACCGAAAUACCGGAUUUCUCGAAAAUACAUUGGUUACUCUUUACCCAAAUAUAACCAAAAAUAUCUAAAAAUACUAAAAUUACCCAAAAGAAAACUACAUCAUUAGUUACUUUUAACCAAAUAUAUCCAAAUGUAUCCGAAUUAGUCAAAAAUACCUAAUAUAUUCGGAUUUAUGAUGGUAAUUUUAGGUAUUUCGGGUAUUAUAAAUAUAAAUAUAACUAAUAUUUUUAGGUGUAUAUUUGUAUUCGGAUACAUUCGGGUACAUUCGGGUAUUGGAUUCGGUUCGGGUUCGGUUCGGGUUUUUUUCGGGUAGGAGGUUAGGACCCAUUCGGGUAUUUUUAAAAAUCGGGUUCGGGUUCGGUUCGGGUAUUUUUCGGAUUUUUUGGUUCGGGUAUUCGGUUCCGGGUAUUUUGCCCAGGCCUACUUAGCAGUGUGGUUCUAAUUGCUGCUUUAUUAAAUGCUAAUUUCGCUGCGCUGUUACCGGGCAGAUUGCUCAGCUUUAUACCCUACCAAUUGACGAAUUUUCCAUUUUGCUAUCUUAAUGUCACUUUGUCUUUUAAUAUUUUUGACUUAUCUCGUCGUCCAAAUAUGCAUUAUUUCUGCCUAGGAGAUGCUAAAACGUGUUCUUCUGGUUCUGGGUGCCACAUGAUUCAUUCAUAUAGUUACAACAAUGUGAACUUUGUUUUUGGCUUUUUUCAUGUACCAAUUUGUCUACUAUGCUUGACUGAACAAUAAAUUGCACAUGAGUCAACCCAAUAGGCAUUGACUAAGACUUAGGUAACAUACGUGUUUAAUGGACCAUAUAUACAUACUUACACACUUGUUUGCUAAAUCCUAACCCAAACAAAAUCUGUAUGAUAUUUGUAAAUGAAAAUGAAAAACGUCUUGCCAGUCUUCUGGCUUUUCCUUGUAAGCUUUUCUGUUUCGUCUGCACAAAAUUGCGGGAAAACUGGUUUUUUUAGGGGCAAUUUACAAAAAUGGCACUAAAAAGGCUUAUUAUUCCAAAAAUGGCACUUUCUUUUGAAACUUCCAAAAAUAGCACACAAAGUUUUUAAUCUUCUAAUUAAUUAAAACAAAAAAUACACAAAACUUAAUUUCAUUUCUUCCACACCCGACGGCUUCGCUUCCAACAAACUUCACCUUCGAAAAACUUGACGACUCCGUCGACCUCCACCUUCGCCGUCGACCUCGACUUUCGCCGUCGACCUCGACUUUCGCCGUCGACCUCGACUUUCGCUGUCGACCUCGACCUUCGUCGUCGCCCUCGACGACUCCGUCGGUCACCGGAUCUGAUUUCUUCACCGGAGAUUUGAAGACUUUGUCGGAUUCAUUCUUCUCCGGUGAGUUUGUGUAAUUUCCCUCACUCUCCAAUUCUUCUCUGGCGAGUUUCUGUAGUCCUUUCAUUCACUUGCUUCGAUUCAACAAAUGCUGAAAGAUAAUCGGUGAAAUUCGAUUCCGAUUUAGGGUGAGGUUUUUUGUCAUUGGGGACAAUGAUUAGAUCACUGUCAUUUUCACUGCGAUUUCUGACAUAGGGUUUUGCUAUAAGUGAAUCAAUUUUAGGAUACUUGUAUUUCAAACAUUGUUGAUGAAAAUGGUGUACUUGAUAUGUUUAAUUCAUAGUACAUUCUUUUGUUCUCUAGAUUGCUGAAAUUAAGAAAUGAUUGAGUACUAGAAAUGAAUUUGAGGCUUUAUUGUUCUCUCUUUGGCUGAAAUUAAGAAAUGAUUCUCUAUAAUAUUUGUGAUUUUUGAUUCCAUUGGAAGAUUUUCUAAUCUUUGGUAUGGUUUGUGUUGUUUCUCUGCUCUAUUUAUAACCAAACAAAGUGUUCUUAAGCUCCUUGCACUUAAUGAAUCUAUAGAUGUAUGAAUACAAAAGCUACCGUCAUUCUGUGAUAUAUAGAUAAUAUUAUAUGAAUUCAUAAGCUUGCUAUGUUAGCUUCCAUUGUCAUUGAAAGUUUGAAGGUACAGAAAUCUGUGAUUUUGUGUUGCUAAGUAUUCAGGAUAGUCUUCCCGAAAAUCUUCUGUGAUUCUGUGUUGCUUUUAAGAUAUUUAUUAUUACUAUCAUAUGGUAAUUGUGGUAUUUUGGAGCAAAAACGUUUUACAAUACAUUCAUGUUGCAGUUUUAUAAUCUUUAUGUAUAUCUUAGCUCGGGUAAUACUAAUAUAUCUUAGCAAAAAUUACAAGAUAAGAACUAAUAGGAAUCGUAGUAAUUUAAUAAGUUCUAAGGAUUUUGAUAUAACUCUCUUUCUUUCUUCUUUUGCAUUUCCUACUAAUCUGCCUACGCGGAAAAGGAAGCCUUCUCCCUCUUGAAUUUGGGGUUGAUGUUUCAAAUGGCGGAUGUUCUUAUGAAUCUGUGGAACUUAUCUACUAGAUUUAAUUUUUUUCUGCUGCUACAAACAGCCUACAGCCGAAUCAAUUUAAUAGAGAAUCCGACUGCAUUCUUGUGUGAGAAAUACACGAGCUUACCAUCACCGCAACUUUCUCAAAUACUGAAUAUUGAAGCAUCUAAUCAUGUAAAUUCAGUCUCUUCUUUUUAUGGUUUAAACUACUUUUGGGAAAGAUUUAUAGUAAUUUGGGAUGGCCUUCCUGAUUUGGGAAGGAUUUAUAGUAAUUCGGGUUGACCUUCCUAAUUUAGGAAGGAUUUAUAGUAAUUCGGGAUGGCCUUCCUAAAAUAUGUAAUUGAAUGUAUUAAGUCUGCUGAAUGUGUUUGUUUUUGUGCAGCUGAAUGUAUUUUGCAUCUCACCUUCAAAACCUGAUGAUCCUGAAGAUAAAGUUUCAUUGGAAGACGAAGAUGAUCCAGAAUUAAGUCUGCUGGUCGAGCUUCUAGGUAAAGGUUACAAAAUGAAAUAUGAAGAUUGGACAAAAUGUUCAACCACUACUUGAACCCAAGACCUAUUGUUAUUGUAACAAAACAUAUAACUAGUAAACAAAGCUUCUCAUUCGUGAAUAUCUUACAAAUGAGCAUCCUGAAUAUGUUUUAGAAAAGUCAUCCUAAAUAUGUAUGUGCCCUUCCUAAAACAUAUACAAAUGAGCAUCCUGCUCUAUUCCAUGUACAACUCUGAUAGAAGAAGUUCCGACUGAUGGAUGAAGUACCUACAAGCAAAAAACAUAGACAGGAAAAUAGACAGAGAGUUAAAAUUGAAAACACAUGACUAGAAAGCAUCAUAUCUGUAUAUUGCAUUACUUAGGGAGGCCAUCCUAAAAUACACGUAUCCUUCCUAAAACCUAUGAAAAUGAGUUUUUACCUUCUACUUUUCAUGUGCAGCCAACAAGAUUUCUAAUGCAAAAUCAAACUAAAAAAAAUCCAAAGAGACAACAAGAUUAGCUGCAAAAGACAACAACAUUCCUGUAAUGUCUGAAGUUAUGGGUGGAAUACAAAUGAUUAUAAUAUCCCAAUUGGGCAAAACUUGGUGCUUCUAAUAAGCUCUGUAGACUAUGUAAAAUAAAAUAGUUGUAGCCUGUUAUUAGACAAAAGAAAUCAUGGAUUGUAUUGUUAGCUGUGAUUGAGGAACAAAUUAAAUAACACUCAUAAUAAACUAGAAACUCGAGAGCAACAAUCAAAUCCAAGAGCUAUUAAUCAAGAACUAAUCACUAAAAGAGUUCAAAUCGAGAGCUAAUCAAAUGGAGGAGCUAAUCAAAUCCAGAACUAUAUCCACAUCCAAUCAAAGCGAGAGCUACACUCACAAGCUAAUCAAAUCUAGAGCAAAAUCACAACGUUGAUCAAUUUUAGGAGCUACAAACCCAGAAAUACAUCCACAUCGAACCAAAUCCAGAUCUACAAUCACAAACCUCUAAUCAAAUGCAGGAGUUACAAAUCGACAUCAAACCAUAUCCAGAGCUACAAUCAUAAACGUCUAAUUAAAUGCAAUGGAAGAGUUACAAAUCCAGAGCUACAAUCACAUACCCAUGAUUUCGCCGUGAAUCCCAGAAAUUAACUCUCUGAUUGAAGCUCUAAGAUCGGAAGCUUCAACGGAAUUGAAGAUCGGAGAUUGGAAGCUUUACCGGAAUUGAAGAUUGGAGAUUGAAAGCUUCAGAGGAAACAACAAUCGUAAGCUUCUCCGUCGAAUGUGUUUAAUGUUUAUUUUCUAUUUUAAUUUAUUAAUUCUUAAAAAUCAAAAAUAAGGUAAAUGAGUGCUAUUUUUGUCAAAUAAACUUGUGGAUGCUAUUUUUGUCACAAAAACUUCAUUUAGGGCUAUAUGAGACCAUUUCUCUUUUUUUAGACCCUGUGGAUGUCGGAUUCACACACUCAAGUAUUUUGUUAAGUAGGAAGGAUUAUUCUUGAGGGACAAAAAUGAAUAUGUAAAAAGAAAACUUAUAAAAUUGCUAUAUUAUUUCUUGUUCGCGAGGAAGCUCCCCUUUACACGGCCAUCGGCCUCUAUAUUUAUACAUAGAUAAGCGACAUUAAAAUGAGUAAUUAAGUACAAUUAUUCCUUCUUAAAUGUGUCCGUUUUGAUUCUUCGACUUUAAUGCUCAACGUUUGAAUUUGAGUUGACUCUGAUCUCUAUGGGCCUCGCCCCUUUUGGCCCAAGUGUCCUUAAACCGACUUACCCGUGUCUUCUACACCGAACUCGUGUCACAGUGCAGUCACUUCGGAUUAUUGAAAUAUUGACAACCACUUCGACCGCCCCUUCGGCUCACGGGUCCAAUGGGCUUCAUCCUUUAUGGGCCAUUAUCUUGACUACGUGGCAAUCUUUGGUUGGUCGCGGACUUCUGGUGCGGGAUCCGACACCAACAAUUAGCCCCCCAAGUUCUUCGAAGUGCUGUUCCAAUUCGGAGGACUUUAAAUGCUCAAGUGGCCAAAGAUUGCGCUCGAGAAUCUUUCUGAUUUCCCGCCGGAAAUCUCAUCACUCCUUUAAUUUCGGCACUAGCCAUUUUUAACCAAAUGACAUCUGUCAUCAUUAUGACCGCAUAUUGAUUAAUUACUAUUAAAACGGGAAAAAACCUUCCCACUUCCCACACAACUUCCGAGGCGGUUCCAUCAUUAGCUUGAGGUAACUUCUUUUCACCAUUACUCUCUUCUUUUACUUUUGUACUUUAAUCAAAAACUCUCUCUUCUUCUCUUCACAAAAAUCUCUCUUCGCCGGAUCUUUUAAUCUUUUCCCAAUGACUUCUGAUUCCGAUAGACCCGAAUCUCCGUCUUUCGAUGAGAGGCGUUCUAGCAACGACGAGUGCACCCGCUCUGAUGAUAUUGCCGGUCCGCACUAUAGAUCCACUUGUACCCUUCAAUCCCUUGAGCGGUUGAGAGAGCUCUGCCGGAUUCCGCCGAAAAUUAUGGCGGAACACAAAUAGCCUCCCCCACAGAAUCCCCGGAGAACCAUCGCGAUGGUUACUUCUGUGUGUACGAGAUUUACUUCAAGGGUUGCGGAUUAACCUUCCCGCUUCCCGAAGCCCUAGUUCUAUACCUAGCGGCUCUUGAAAUCGCUCUUCCUCAAUUAACCCCCAACCUUCUCCGUACCAUUCUUGGGAUUAUUACAAUCGUGGCGGAGGCCGGUUAUGUCGUCGGAGUUACUGAACUAAAUGAGCUUCUAAGCGUGAGAAGCUCAUCAAAGAAAACGGGAUAUUUCUCAGCAUAUCCUAACGCCAACAGGAACAUCAUUUCGCAUCUUCCAAACAAGGAUGAAAAUUGGCAUCAUCCUUGGUUUCUGAUUAAGAAAACUCCCGCUUCGAUUGGAAAUCUUGCAGAUUUCCUCCUUUCGAAGUGGUCGGCGAAACCUGGUAGAGAUUAGGUCGCCCGUAUCUUUCCCGGUUGUUUCUUUAUCUUUAUUAACUAACACCGUUGUUUCAUUUCGCAGCUUUCGUCGCUUCCGCUCUCCCAUCUGAAGAGUUCAUUGAAUUCUUCAAAAUAAUUCUUGAAGGGGAAACCCUUUGGAAUUCUUUCACUCUUGAGCGAUUCUUAGAAGCUAACCACAGACUCAGGAUGAGUCCGCCUGGUCAUCUUCAUCAAAUCCCUCCCCCUCCCUCAACUCAGGGAAUGUCAUCUCGGGCCCUUGCGGCCAAACGUAAGUUGCUUUCCAAGCCGAUGGCUGAGGCUUGCGAGGAGAAGAAAAAGUUUCUCGCGACUUCCAUAGACAAGAAGGACUACAGUAGGACCUUGCUGGUUGAUGAUGGCAGCACCGAGGGAGCCCGAUCUGUUGCUUCCUUCAGAUUAACUCCUCGUCGCGAUCGCCGCGACUCACGUUCUCCUCGGAGGGAUCAAUCUCCUCGCCGUGAUUCACCUCGUCCUCCCCGAGAUGAUUUUAGUAGUGAACCAAUUAAGAACUUGGUUCGCCGGAAGAGAGACAAGUCUUCUCGCAGUGAUCCUUCCCCGCAAAGGGAAAAGUCAAGGGCCCGGAAUGACCGCUCACCUCGGUCAUCCCCUCCUUCUGAACCAAUGGGUCCUCCUCGACCGGUUGAUAUGUCCUCCUAUUCCCAGCCUGAUAGUGGAAAGACUGCCCGGAGCGCGUCUCCGAAAAAGGGAGAUUCUGAAUCUCGAGAUGCUUCCUCGAGGUUAAAACCUGCUCUUGUCCCUCAAAUCAAAUCGCUUUCAGGUUUGGUGAUUCAUACAGUCUUCAACGUUUUUUUUUUUUUAAGAUUCCGAUUUUUACAACUCUUCUUUCUUCGCAGCUAUGGAGAAAGAGGGCAGCGUCUUCCGAUGCUUCAAGACCCGAUCGGGUUCGAUCUUGCCAGACUUCGACAAAUGGCGCCCUGCGAUUCGUGAACGUUAUUUGCUUCAUGCACAUCAUUCAUCUCGGGUUAGUUCCGUUUUCUUUUAUAUAUAUUUUUUAUUGUAUUGCCAUUCUGCGAACUGACUUGCCACCCCGGGUUCAUGUAUAACACCAGGCUCAUAGCGAAUUUAACGACAUGAUCGAACAUUACGAAGGGUUGGUCAUUGGACGGGAGAAGGAGAUUGACAUGUGGAAAAAGAAACUCUCUGCUUUUGAGGCCGAACUCAGUUCUUCUGCCGGCUCCAAGCACGAUCUGGAGGACAAAGUCGACAAUUUAACAUCCGAGCUUGCGCAGAUAAAGGGGGAGCUGCAGGGUCAGUACGACCAGAACUUCAAGCUCCAGGAAGAGUUUUCUGGUAUUCAAGGUAGGCUUCAAGAGUCCGAAUCAAACGCUGAUUCCCUGAACACCCAACUCAUCGAACUCAACGCGAAGUACAAGGCGAUCGCCAAAUUGCGUGACUCCGAGUUGGCGAGGUCGGCAUCAAAAGCCAGAAAAGAGGUCAAGGGACGCGGGAUGGAGUUGAUCCAAGGGGCCAUCCGAUUCAUGCAGACUGAGAAGGCUAGGUCUGACUUGGAAUCAGACAUCAAGGAGCACGAGAGCAACCUGAUCCUGUUGGAUCAAAUCCAUGAUGCAGAUUUCUCCGAGGAUCAAGAGAGAACCGAACUAUCGGCUAAUCUUUCUGAAAAGCGGAGUCGCUUGGCAGCUCUUCCUACUCCGACCUUCAACCCUCAGGACUUCGAGGAAUUCUUCACUGAAUCGCCUCCUAUAGGCGAAUCAGGUCUAGACUGGGCAGGUAAUGCUUGGCUCCUGAUAUUUAUUACCUUUCCUUUUCUUGUACCUUUGAUUGACUGGAAUUAUUAUUCCUAGGCUCAAGUGAGACGGAGGACGUUGUCCCGCCCGUAGCCCCUAUGGUACCGGAGGUCACUCCGGAGGUUGGUUGUACCGCGGAGGGUGGUCAAGGAGCUUCAUCUGAUCAAGCAGCUGCCAAGGAGGCGAAUGAAGCUUCGACUGUUGAACCGGAUUCCGAGGUGGCUGCUGCUCCGUAGUGGCUGUGUCCACUUUAAAUUGGGGAUUGUCCCUUUAUUUUUAAGACUUAAUUUCAAACUUAUUUUUGCCUAAGGAGGCUUUAUUUUCUUUUGAACAAAAUAUUUGCCUGAGGAGGCUUUUAAACCUUACUAGGUUGUGACCCAAGGGGGUUUGGUUAAAAUUAUAUGCGGGUUUGCAAAGUCCGCUUUUAACCUUUUGUGGCCUUGUGGCAAUGCUUUCGAGAUUUUUAGGCUGAUCAGACCUUUCUCUUUAGAAUGCGAGAGCUGAGCUCGGCUUAAAGCGAGUUCCCCACUUCGGGUUUAGUCAACUCGGUAAACUUGUUGGGCUUGGGCCUUAGAAACUUUUGCAGUUAAUGCGACGGUUGCUCUUUCCCUUUUUAAAGAAAACGGCUCGUCUUUUAAUGUAAUAAUUGCCUUUUCUCGAUUUUCCAAAAAUGGUUUAACCCACUCGGAAACGCUACCAUUAAUGGAUUUAUGGUUCCAAGGCAAACCCUAAAUCAUUAUAAAUAAAGACUUACCUACCUCUAGGCUUUAUUAAACAUGACUCUAGAAUCUUACUUGAGAAAUAUUUUAAGAAUGGAAGACGAAACAGUAGCCCCCGUUGAUCCCGGCAGUCCACUCUUCUUAUCCGGCGACGGCUUUGAACCGGCCGGCGUUCUCUUCCCUCACGCCGUCUUUCACUUUCCUCCGAAGGAGAAGAAAGAGGCUUGCGAUUUUAUUGACAAGGUAAAUAUUAAAGUUUUUGAUUUCAAACUUCUUGUUUCAUCUUAUUCAUUCAUUUUUAUGCUAGGUCGCCGACAAGCACCGUCGCUUGUGUGAAGAGAGGCAGCGGCUGGGACUCAAAAGGCAGACGCUCGAGGCUCGCAUCGCUCGGGUGGAAAGGAAGAUACGGGCUUUGGAGAGUGAUCCCUUUCAAUGGGAGUGGCGGAACUUCGAUUCCGUUGCUGAGAUCCCGAAGAUGCUUCGGAUGUAUCUCCGUGCUAGAGGAGUCCCGGGUCCCGUGAACGCCCCUGUCUUCGCCGUUCCAUCCGACAGUGAAGAGGAAGAGGACUUGGAGGAGGAGGCCAGCAACUGCCGGAAACGUGUUCGGGAUCGUUCCGAAGUGGAUGCCAAAAACAAGGCAUCCACGUCGGAAAAGAGGAGACUUCGGAAGAGGAUUAACCGGAUGCAACGCAGGCUUACUACAGUGUCAAGAAGUCUUCACAUCCUUGAAUCUCACCCCGGAGAGUGGACUGAGCUUGGAAUUUCUGACUUUGCUCGAAUUCCGGACUGCAUGAUGCCGAUCCUCGAUCUUGCUGGUCAAGGAGUUGAAGUGUUCUGCUCGUCAGCAAGAUUUCCAUAGUCCGGAGUGUACGAUGAGGGACAUUCCGUCCUUUGAAUAAACGUUUUAUUUCCAAUUUCUUGUAUGUUCGCUUAGCCGAGCCUUCUAUUUGCUUCACUUGUUCGCACAGUCGAACCUUUCUCCUUUAAUAAAGAAAUAAAACAAAUUUUUAUUAAUAGCUGAACUUGUUUUCGAGCUGCCUACGUACCCAUCUCGGGAUCAAGCCACACCGUAGUUCAUGUACAUAAACAAUGCAUGUAGCUUUAAACAUAAAAUUUCUUUAGGUUGAUCACAUUCCAAGGUCGUUUGACUGGAUUGUCUUCUAAGUCUUUCAACCUAUAAACACCGUUCCGUACCACUUCGGUAAUAAUGUAAGGUCCUUCCCAAUUAAUACCGAGUUUACCGGCACCUUCUUCUUUUCUGUUGUCGAAGACGCGCCUCAAUACAUAAUCUCCCACGAAGAACGGCCUACUUUUAACCUUAGAAUUGUAAUACCGGGCUGCUGCCUGUUGGUAAUUCUGGAUCCGAAUUAGAGCUUGAUCACGCCUUUCAUUUAUGGUAUCCAGUGAAUCAUUAAGCAUUGCUGAAUUUUCUUCCUCAUUUAACGGUGCUUCUGUUCGACGAAGUCCGGGCACAUUGAGUUCAGCUGGUACUACCGCCUCCAUGCCAUAAACCAAAGAGAAUGGAGUUUCUCCUGUAGGUCGCCUAGGGGUUGUACGAUAAGCCCACAGGACGGGUUGGAGUUCUUCAUACCAUCCUCCCUUUAGAUGACUUAAGCGUUUCUUGAGAUUGCUUAAUAUUGUCUUGUUCGCGGCUUCGGCUUGACCGUUUCCUUGCGGAUAUCGUGGAGUAGAAUAACUAACUUUGAUUCCCCAAUCCGCACAAAAGGCAUCAAACUCGUGUGAAAUGAAUUGCGGUCCAUUAUCAGUGACUAUUUCGUAUGGAACUCCAUGUCGACAUAUAAUGUUUUUCCAAAUAAAGGUCUGCACCGCCGAAUCCUUGAUACCGACAUACGCCUCAGCUUCAAUCCAUUUUGAAAAGUAGUCCGUAAGGACUAAAAGGUACUGUACACCUCGAGUUGAUUUGUGCAAUGGUCCAAUGAUGUCCAUUGACCACCUCAUAAACGGGUAUGGGGCGGAAAUGGAGGAGAAUAAUUCCGACGGUUGAUGGAUCAAUGGUGCAUGGAGUUGGCAGUGCUUACAUCUUUGGGCGAACUUAACACAAUCUGUGAUCAUAGUGGGCCAAAAAUACCCCAUUCUUUUAACUUUAAAAGCCAUAGCUCUUCCUGAUGAAUGACUCCCACAUAAUCCUUCAUGUACUUCGCUCAUGAUGAUUUCGACUUCGGGCCCAAAAAUGCAUAAUAGGUAAGGGUCACUGACACCUCGUCUAUAUAACGCAUCCUUUGACAGACAAAAUUUUGCGCUAACGACUUUCAUUUUCCUGGCCUGCCAUUUAUUCUUUGGGAGCUCUCCUGUCAUGAUGUAGUGCUUUAUUGGCUCCCUCCAAUCAGCCCCCCAGUCUUUAGCCGGAAUUUGGUCAACUUUGUGAAAUAUUCGUGGCUCUGGUUCGGGAUGUUCAUUUGGUUCAAGAAUAUCCUCCUCGAUUAAUGGCUCGGUUUCUAUCAUCUUUUCUGGAAUCACAUCCUCAGCUAAGACAACAGGUUCCUUGUUAGAUGUGUUUGAUCCCUUUGGCUUCCUUCGUUUGUUGGGUAGCGGUUCGAUCUCUGGUUUGCCACGGUCGCGUGCCGCUGCUCGAGACCUUGUAACGACGAGGGUUUCUUUGCUGUCUUGAAUGCUUCGCUUCGAAAUGCAUUUCACUGGAAUAACUCUCUUUAACUCAGGAUCUGAUGUUGACGCCAAUGCGGCAAGUGCAUCCGCAGUUGUAUUCUCUCCCCGAGGUAUGCGGAUUAAUUCGAAUUUUGAGAAAUUUUUAGAUAACUCCUUCACCACUUCGAGGUAUGCUUCCAUUCUUGAAUCUUUGGCUUCAUAGUCUCCAUUAAAUUGAUUAACUACUAAUUGCGAAUCGCAAUAAGCCAAUAUUUCCUUAGCUCCAACUCCUUGUGCUAGUCGAAGUCCGGCAAUAAGGGCUUCGUAUUCUGCCUCGUUGUUGGAGGCAUUGAAUAACAAUCGGAAUGAUUGUUCUAGAAUUUCUGAUGUUGGAGAUUCCAACUUAAUUCCCACUCCGGAUCCUUGCUUUGGUGAAGACCCAUCUACGUGUAACUUCCAAGUUUGGUUCUCAGGUUGCUCUAUCGUUCCAGGUAUUGGUAGUUCGGUUAAGAAAUCUGCUAAGACCUGAGCCUUCAUACUGAUUCGGCUUUUGAACUCUAUGUCGUACUCGCUUAAUUCCACCGCCCAUUUCGCCAAACGUCCGGAUUGACUUGGACUAUGAAGUAUUGUUCUGAGUGGUUGGUUAGUUAAUACUUCAACCGGAUGGGACUGAAAAUAUGGACGCAGCUUCCGAGCCGAAGUUACCACCGCGAGUGCAAGCUUUUCCAUCAUUGUGUAUCUGGUUUCUGGAUCCGUCAUUGACUUGCUCACGUAGUAAAUUGGCUUCUGCUCCCCACGGUCUUCCCGAACCAAGACUCCACUAACCGCGUGGUUUGAAACUGAUACGUACAAGUAAAGUUUUUCAUCCACCUCCGGUUUGGACAGUAUAGGUGGAGUGGUUAAGUAUGCCUUAAGCUGCCCAAAAGCUUCUUCACACUUCUCAUCCCAAAGGAAUCCUUUGUUCCCUUUUAGAAUUUGGUAGAAAGGCAACGACUUAUCUGUUGAUCUCGAGAUAAAACGAUUCAAAGCCGCAAUCCGCCCAGUCAACCGUUGCACUUCUUUGAAGUUUCUUGGAGAUGGCAUGUUUAGAAAGGCGUUAAUUUGAUUUGGAUUGGCUUCAAUCCCUCUUUCUGUCACGAUAUAGCCAAGAAAUUCUCCGGAUGGGACUCCAAAUGUGCACUUCGCCGGGUUCAGCUUCAUUUGAUAUUUAUUGAGAAUAUCAAAACAUUCCUCCAAAUGUUUAACAUGAUCUUCUUUCUUCAACGAUUUAACCAACAUAUCAUCUAUGUAGACUUCCAUAGUCUUCCCGAGGUGAUUGUGAAACAUUUUGUUCACCAACCGUUGGUAAGUUGCUCCUGCAUUUUUCAAACCAAAAGGCAUUACCUUAUAACAGUAGAUACCUCUAUCAGUAAUGAAUGACGUCUUUUCUUGAUCUUCGGGGUUCAUCAUUAUCUGAUUAUAACCCGAGAAGGCGUCCAUGAAUGUUAACAGCUCAUUUCCAGCGGUGGACUCUACAAGUCGAUCUAUAUGCGGGAGCGGGAAACUAUCUUUGGGACAUGCUUUAUUCAGGUCUGUAAAAUCGAUGCAAACCCUAUCUUUCCCAUUCUUUUUCUUGACAACGACAGUGUUUGCUACCCAUUCCGGAUAUUGCACUUCUCUUAUGGACCCUAUCUUCAAUAGUUUAUCCACUUCGUCAUUUACUAUUUUGGCCCGCUCCACUCCAAGCUUUCUUCUUUUUUGUUUCACCGGUUUGAAGCUUGGAUCCACGUUUAGUUCAUGACAAAUUAUACUCGGAUUUAUGCCAGGCAUGUCCGCUGCUGACCAUGCAAAUGAUGCUUUGUUUUUCCUUAAGAGUUCGAUCAAAGCUUCUUUUGUUUGGCCAGUCAAAGUUGCUCCAAUUCUAAUUUUCCGGUCCGGCUUGUCUUCUUCCAGUACUACUUCGACUACUACAUCCUCUUUCUUCUGCCCACUAGGAAAUUUUGUUUUUAGUCCCUCUUUUGCGGGCUUCGUUAAUUGCUAUUGAAUCUUCAUACGGUGGCUAGCUAAGUAACACGUCCGUGAAGCUUCUUGAUCUCCCCGAAUUGUUUCCACCCCAUUUGAUGUUGGAAAUUUGAUACAUUGAUGGUAUGUAGAGGGGACUGCUUUCAUUCGAUAAAUCCAGGGAGUCCCGAGGAUGAUGUUGUAAGCUGCGGGCUUAUCGAAGACGACGAAGUCCACGAUCUUUGAUACCUUCUUGGCAAGGACCGGUAGCUUGAUUGUUCCGAGAGACAUGGCUGACUCGCUUGUGAACGCAACUAACGGAGAUGGGGGUCCUACUAUGUCUCCUCGGCUGAUUCCCAUUUUUUCUAGAGUACUUAAAAAGAUCAGGUCAACCGAACUGCAUGUAUCUAUGAGGAUCCUUGAUACUUCGAAGUUAGCAACAUCAAGAGUAAUGACUAGAGCAUCAUCAUGCGGUCUUUCGAGAUGCCGCGUUUCUUCUUCAUUAAAUGAUAUUGAGGCACCUUGAAAAUCAAUUUCUUCGCUCAAGCUUGCUUUGAGUAAGACAUUUCGUCUAUGCUUUUUGAUGGAACUUAUUGAAUCUCCGCAAAAUCUGGAACCUCCUAGAAUCACAUUGAUCUUACCCUUAGAACUCCUUGGUUCUUCCUCGUUGGAUAACCUUGGUCUUUUGGAAUCUUGAUCUUUGGAGUUUUCCUUUGCUUCGUGGUAUUCCUUCACAAAAUCUUUUAUAUCGAAUUUAGAAAGAUCGCCACUAGCCCAAAGCUCUGCGAGGUGCUUUUUAAGAACGCUGCAAUCCUUGGUUAAGUGUCCGGUUACUUUAUGAAUGUCGCAAUAUAGACUUUCAUCACGGAUCCAAGUGUUUGAUCUUCCUUUCCCUUGGAAUUGCUUUCCAACGGUGUUGUUGAAGGGUUGCGACCCAAACUUCUUUGGUCCUUUGCUCUCCCUAGGCUCGAACUUCCUGGCAGGGACGGUGAUUGCUGGCUUUUCUUGCUUAUUUCUUUUGGCAAAACUUUCUUUUUCGUCCUCUACCUCCAUCCAGUUGUUCGCGCGAAAGAGUGCAUCCUGAAUUGUGUCUGGUUUAUGAAGUAUUAAGUCUUCUUUAAACCUUGAGUCAUGUCGCAAUCCCUUUCGUAAGGCAGAUAAAGCUGAUUGCUGUGAGAUUUUUGGGAGUUUUGACAGCACUCCUUUGAAUUUGGUGAUGAAAACGCGAAGUGACUCAUUAGAUCCUUGCGUUAAGUUCCAAAGAUCGGCAUCCGAAACGCUUUUAUCCAUAAGGAUGGAGUAUUGCUUUAAGAAUACGGCCGAUAGUUCGUCGAAAUUGCUGAUCGAACCCGGCUCUAAUUGGGUGAACCACAUUAAAGCUUGGCCACAUAGAUUCUCCGAAAACAGCUUGCAAUAGCCUGCGUCCUCAUCAGCUUCAUCCAAUUCGACUCUUCCAGCAGCGAUCAGAAAAGCUGCGAGAUAGCUUUUUGGAUCCUCCAAUCCGCUGUAAGGGUCCAAUUUGAGUUUCCGGGAAUCUUUGAUCCUCAAACUCGCAAUUCGCGAGAUGAAAGGUGUUCGCCUAGCUUCUUCAAUGACUCGAUUGAUGUCUGGCUCUGAACUUGUAGCCUGAUGAAAUUUUGAUUUCAUUUCUUUUAAUUCCUGGCUAACCUUCCUCAUGGUCUCGAACUGGUCGAGGUUCUCCUGCUCGUACUGAGCUGCAAGUUGUUCUUCAUCCCCGAGCUGCGUCUCUUCUUCCAACGUCUGAGCUACGUUAUUAGUAGCACCGGGAGUUGUUUGUCCACUGGUUUCAUUUCGUGCAGCGGAACUUGGCGAGUUGAAUAUCCCUCUUCGGAUUCCCACCGGGUUUCCUGCACUUAAAGAGCGAACACGAGUUUGUAUAGUAUUGACGUUUUGACUAAGAGAUACCUGGGAUGUUUGCAACGUAUCGACGGCCUUUUCCACAUCCGAGAACUUUUGUGAUAUGUCCGACAUGGUUUGCUGCAUAGCUUUGAGGGUUUCGGCCAAUGAUGUCUCAGCAGCGUCUCCUCCGGACAUUGUUGCUUAUCUCGGGAGUGUGAUAAAGAAAAAAUCUGACCACUCAAGAAUCGUAAUCUUACCCACAGACGGCGCCAAAAUGUGGAUGUCGGAUUCACACACUCAAGUAUUUUGUUAAGUAGGAAGGAUUAUUCUUGAGGGACAAAAAUGAAUAUGUAAAAAGAAAACUUAUAAAAUUGCUAUGAAAAUUGCUAUAUUAUUUCUUGUUCGCGAGGAAGCUCCCCUUUACACGGCCAUCGGCCUCUAUAUUUAUACAUAGAUAAGCGACAUUAAAAUGAGUAAUUAAGUACAAUUAUUCCUUCUUAAAUGUGUCCGUUUUGAUUCUUCGACUUUAAUGCUCAACGUUUGAAUUUGAGUUGACUCUGAUCUCUAUGGGCCUCGCCCCUUUUGGCCCAAGUGUCCUUAAACCGACUUACCCGUGUCUUCUACACCGAACUCGUGUCACAGUGCAGUCACUUCGGAUUAUUGAAAUGUUGACAACCACUUCGACCGCCCCUUCGGCUCACGGGUCCAAUGGGCUUCAUCCUUUAUGGGCCAUUAUCUUGACUACGUGGCAAUCUUUGGUUGGUCGCGGACUUCUGGUGCGGGAUCCGACACCAACAGACCCUACGAUAAGUAUGAUACAAACUGUCACCUUCUCCUCUCUUCUCUCGCUUCUAAUGUCUUAGCUCGAGGCGGCUUCUACAAUGCUUCGGUUGGACAAGGACCUGAUCGGGUGUAUGCUGCUGGGAUGUGCAUCCGAGGUGAUGAACCAAAAGGUUGCUCAACCUGUAUCAACUCUUCUUUUCAUAGGUUGAUAAAGAAAUGUCACAACCAAAAAAUAAGGCCUCGACUGGACCUAUUACAAGGGAGUUCCUUAUAUGAUACGUUACUCCAACCGUUCGUUUUUUGGAUCACUCGAGAUGCAACCAUUUUAUAAGGAGUACAAUAGUCCAGAUUUCCAAGUCAAUUUGAAAGAGUUUGAAAAAACAUGGGAGGCUUUGAUGCUUAGUGUGAUAGCCAAAGCAAUCUCGUCGUCCAACCCAAAAUAUCUAUGGGUUGUGCAAUGCAGUAGAGAUAUAUCUCCGUGGAGCUGUGGCAAAUGUUUAAGAGAUAAUGUGGAUCAUUAUAAGUUUUGCUGCCGUGGGAAAACAUAUGGCCUUAGUUUCAGGCCGAGCUGUUACAUGCGAUGGGAUGUCUAUUCAUUCUAUGGCGUUUUUGACAAUAAGACUUCACCCACACUUCCUCUUGAAAAAAGUAAAAUCUCAGAACUAUCUUGUCCAGCUAUUGUUUUCGUAAUCUUUUAGCUAACCAUGAUUAAUGUUUGUCUGCUCUGUUUUUGUAGUCAAAUUUGUUCACACCCCCUGUGAGUUACACUCAUUGAUCUUGCUUGAACCCUACGGUACUAGCUUUUAGUCCAUAUUUUCCCUUAAGCGCAAUAAUCAUAGGUAAUUUGGGCUUGUUCAGGUGGCAGAAAGAUUUCUACAGGACUUAUUGUCGUAGUGAUCGUUGUUCUCGCCUUGGUGACCACUGUACUGCUUACUCUAGGGUAUGCUCUUUGUAGGAGGAGAAAAGCGUACAAUUGAAGAUGCAGAUUCUAGAACAGCUCGCUGUUGGGAUCAGGAAGCUGCAUCAGAUCACAUCAGACGGCUGAGUUGCUGACAUGGACGCGUGAGCUGACGUGGCAGAGCUGGACUGGUUGGUGUGAUGAGCCAAGGAAGGUUUCGGACUUGGCAAGGUGGUUAAUGACGUGGGGUUGGUGUGAAGAUAUGAGAAUAUUUCUUGUACCAACUAUGGAAGGGAAAAGCUUGAUGAACAAAGAAGUUCCCAAAAGGUUGAUUCUUGAAGAUCCUAGGGUCUAGGGUUUUCGUGUAAGGUAUAAAAGGUUUAGGUGGAGGCCAUAGGCGUCGCUAGCACUUUAGAACAUUGUUAUACGGUUGUAAUCUUCGAAGCAAAGAAAAAACUUAGAAGGUGAGUGUGUUCUAGUCCUCCUUGUUCUCAUCGGGUAGAUAGAUAAGAGGAUUAGCAUUUGUUUUGUUCUUGUCGGGUUCAUCCUAUUGGGUAGAAUAGGUGAGUAAGUGCCGAGAUAAAUGUAUCCUUGUAUAAAGAUAUAUUUAUCAAUAAGAACAAAGUAAAGGCGUUGGCUUGGCGCGUUUCCAAGCGUAAACAGUGUGAUGUGUACCUCUAUACCCUUUCAAAUUGGUAUCAGAGCAGUCGCUUGAUAAAAGAAUGUGUCUUUUCAAUAGGUGAGAUCUUGUGACCAGGUAUGGAGAAAUCACAGCAGUUCGUUGCGAUAGCUAAACCGCCGAAGCUUGAUGCAGAAUACUAUGGCUACUGGAAAGUGUCAAUCAGGAAGAGUAGUUGGAACAUUGUAAAUAAUUGUCAAUUUCAAUUACACUCUAUUUAUUCCUUUUUUGUUUCUAACAAAACUGAAAGUGAUUUGUGCUGUGUUUUGCAGCGGUUACAUGCCUCCCGAGUAUGUGGCGAAUGGGCAGUUCUCGAUGAAAUCUGCUUCCACCAGAUAGAUGGUUCAGUAGGCAACUUGGUCACAUAUGUUAGUACUAAAAAAAGCAAAUGCAAUCUUGAACUUAUUUUCACCCCUUUAAACUGUGGUUGUGGCCCUGAACAUUGGUUUUUUGACAAAUGACUUAACAGGUUUGGAGGCUUUGGAACAACAAAUCUUUCUUGGAACUCGUAGACCCGGCCAUGGGAGAGAGUUAUGAUAAAGAUGAAGUCAUCAGAUGCAUCCAUAUAAGCUUAUUGUGCGUUCAAGAAAAUCCUGUAGAUCGUCCAACCAUGUCCACAUUAUUUCAGAUGCUUACUAAUACUUUUCUUACUCUGCCCGUGCCUCAAUCACCUGGAGUUUUCUUCAGGGUCAGAUCCGAGCCAAACUCAUUAGCCGAGAGAUUGGACCCUGGUCCGUCUAAUACCAUGUCGUUUGCUUAUUCCAUUGAUGAUGCGUCGAUCACGAGUGUUAAUCUUCGUUGAAAUUAGAGGUUAAUAAUAGUAGGGAAAGUUACUAGAUUAACCCAAAUUAUGAGUUUAAUUACUAGAGUGUCUUAAAAAAUUUAGGGGUUAAAUGAGUUAUUUUCGUGACCAUAAUACCCUUUCUCUCUUUGUUAGGAAUAAAAAAAAGUCAAAAUUACCCUUAAAUAAAUAAUAAAAACGUGGGCAAAAAAUAUUAGGAAAAAAAAAUUAUUUGAAAAGUCUGUUGGAUAAGUUGUGACAGAUUUAAUUUCCAUGACAGACUUAUUUGUCUCCAACAGAUUUUUUGCGACAGAUUUUUUUUCUCCCACAGACUUACUUGAAAUAGGUGACGACAGAUAUUUAAUUUGUAACAGAUUUUUUCUCUACGACAGAUUUAUUUUAUGAUGACACCACAGACUUUUGUAAUUUUGACAGAUUUAUUAAAAUAUGUGGCAGAUUUAUUAUUUCAGUGGCGUCAGACUUAUAUUUUUUGAUAAAAAUCUGUCAUAAUGUAGCAGAUUUGUUAAUGAAAAAAUAAUUACUAGUUUGACUUAUUAGUGAUAGCAGAUUUAUUUUAUGUUAUGACAGUUUUUUUUGUUUUAACAAAAAUCUGGAGUGUGAUAGCAGAUUUGUUAUUUAAAAAUAUAAAUUGCUAGAAUGACAUAUACUCGCAACCAAAAUGUUUUAUGUUAUGACAGAUUUUUUUUAUAUUAUGACAGAUUUCAGAUUGGAUAUAAAAAAAUUUGUCAUUGAUGACAGUUUUAUUGAUGAAGAUAGAAUUUUAAUCUGCAUAAUCUGGUAAUGACAGACAUAUUCUUACCGCGACAGACUUAUUUAUAUUAAAUGACUCAUGUGUGGCUCUCAUCUUGUUAAUAUAUGAUUAAUUUUUUUCGUUUUAGAUAAAUAUAUUUAUUUUUUCGAAUUUCUAUUUUUUUUUUCGUUUUGUAUUUUUUAUUUCAUUUUAUAUUUUUUUCAAUUUUUUUUUUAUUUUUUUUAUUUUUUUCGUUAUAUAUAAAAUUUUUAAUCUAAUUUUUUUUUUCAUUUUGUAUUUUUUUUCGUUUUAUAUAUUUUUUUUCAAUUUUUAUUUUUUAUUUUGUUUUAUAUUUUUUUUCGUUAUAUAUAUAAUUUUUUUAAUUUAAUUUUUUUUCGUUUUAUAUUAUUUUUUUCAAUUCUUUGUCGUUUUGUAUUUUUUUUUCGUUUUGUAUUUUUUCAAUUUUUUAUUUAAUUAAAAUAUUAUAUGUUAAUUAGUUUAUUUUAAUAGAAUUAAAAAUAAAAUGGGUAUUUGGUCUUUUAACACAAAAAUUGUGUUAUUCUAGUAAACCACAAUAUUUGGAUGUUAAUCUAGUUAUUUUUCCCAAAAUUUGGGUCAAACUAGGUAAAUUUCAGAUAAUAGUAUGUAUACCAUUUCGUAAGCCAAAAUUCUAACGUGUGAAAUUUACGUUCUGAUUACUAAAACGGGGAACGUAAAUUUAUCUAACUCUGCACAAUAUUGUGUGUACACUACUUGGUCAGAGUCUUGACUUUAAACUCUUCGUGUCUUGUUUUCCCACUUUGCAAGUUUUGUUGUUCACUAAAUUUGACGUUAAAAAAAACAAAAGCACUUGACUUUGCCUUUGGUUGAUUUAUAGUCGUCGCUAAUCAUCCUCUGUUUCACAUAUAGGAGAUUGAUCAUGAUGUGAAACCCAAACUGGGGAAAUCGAACAAUGACUUCUUGCGCCUCUUUCAUCUUCCUUUUUCUUUUCUCCUUCCUCACUAGCUUCACAGCUUCUGCUCAAAAUAUUUUCUACAUACAGCAUAUUUGUCCAAAUACGACAACUUAUUCACGAAACAGCACUUACUUCACUAAUCUCAGAACCCUUUUGUCUUCUCUUUCUUCCCCCAACGCCUCUUAUUCCACUGGAUUCCAAAACGCCACGGCGGGACAAGCCCCCGACAGAGUCACCGGACUUUUCCUUUGCCGCGGAGACGUCUCAUCGGAAGUUUGUCGUAAGUGCGUCGCCAUUUCCAUCAACGACACACUCACUCAGUGUCCGAAUGAGAUGGAAGCCGUGUUUUAUUAUGAUGAGUGUAUGCUCAGAUAUUCUGACCGGAAUAUUCUCUCGACCCUUGCAUACGAUGGAGCAUGGUUCAGGUUGAACGGUAAUAUUUCAAUUGAUCAAAAUCAAAUGAACCGGUUCAAAGAUUUUGUGUCGUCCACGAUGAACCAAGCUGCCUUGGAAGCAGCGAGCAAUGCUACAAAGUUCUAUACGAUAAAGGCCAAUUGGACCGCACUCCAGACUUUGUACGGCUUGGUUCAGUGCACUCCUGAUCUUACAAGACAUGACUGCUUGAGCUGUCUGGAAAGUUUCAUCAAUGUAAUGCCUCUUUACAAAACUGGAGGAAGAUUUCUUUACCCUAGUUGUAAUUUAAGGUACGAGCUAUUCGCGUUCUAUAACGAAUCCGCUGUUAGAACACAACCACAACAACAAGUACCACCACCACCGCUGCCUCCUGCAUCUACUCCUCCGAUGACAUCUGCUUCACAACCUGGUGAACUCUUUCUUCUUGAAAUUAGCAUUACCAAUAGGAAUUUUUUGUCCUUUCAAUUGAUUUUAGAUUUGUUAUAUUUUUGUUUGCCGCUAUCUGAUGUUAAGCUAAUGAUCUUUGAAACGCAGGGAAAAGUUGGUUCUCAAAUGUGUUAGUGGUAGCAAUUGGUGUGACUAUUAUAGUGGCUGUUCUAAUUUUGAUAGCUGGUUACUGUUUCCUUGCAAAAAGGGUAAAGAUGUCUUCUGAUACUGCACCAGCCUUUGAUGGUAACAAUUCGAAUGGUUAACAAUCUUAAUUGGAUUGAAAAAUAUCAUUGACCAAUCUUUUUAAUUAAUUUUUCUGAUUAUUAAGACUUUUAUUGUGCAACAGGAGAUGAUAUACCAACCUUAGACUCGCUGCAACUUGAUUAUAGAACGAUUCGAGCUGCAACAAAUAAGUAUUCAGAAAAAAAGAAGAUUGGUCAAGGAGGAUUUGGUGAGGUUUACAAGGUACUAUUACUAUUAAUUCUUUAAACUUUGUACUUUUUAUUGAAACUUUGUGUCAACACAUAUGGAUAACGAGAUGAUGUUGAUGAAAACGAAUAGGGUACAUUAUCGAAUGGGACAGAAAUUGCGGUUAAGAGACUGUCAAAAUCUUCAGGACAAGGUGACACAGAGUUCAGGAAUGAGGUUGUUGUUGUUGCAAAGCUUCAGCAUAGAAAUCUUGUUAGGCUUCUCGGAUUUUCUAUUGAAGGAGAAGAAAGGAUAUUGGUCUAUGAGUAUGUGCCCAACAAAAGCCUUGAUUACUUUCUUUUUGGUAAGUUGCAUUUAUUGCUUUACUUUAGUUAUUCUUUAGCCAUUCUUGAAACUUGGGGACUAAGCAAAAUACAUGAAUGCGCACACAGAUCCUGCAAAGCAAGGUCAGUUGGACUGGACUCGACGAUACAAGAUCAUUGGAGGAAUUGCUCGGGGAAUUUUAUAUCUCCAUCAAGAUUCACGUCUCACAAUCAUACACCGUGACCUCAAAGUAAGUAACAUUCUCCUGGAUGCAGAUAUGAAUCCCAAAAUAGCUGAUUUUGGAAUGGCAAGGAUCUUUGGAAUGGACCAAACCCAAGAGAACACAAGUAGAAUAGUUGGUACCUUGUAGGUCUUCCAUUUAACUUCUCAUAAUUUGAAGUUCUUAAUCAUGAUUAAGUUAAAAUACUAAUUUUUAUUGUGGAUUUCAGCGGUUACAUGUCUCCCGAAUAUACAAUACAUGGCCAAUUCUCAGUGAAAUCUGAUGUCUAUAGCUUCGGAGUGUUAGUUCUUGAGAUUAUAAGCGGUAAGAAGAACAACAGCUUCUACGAAACAGACGGAGCACAUGACCUUGUCACUUAUGUAAGUUUAAAGGCAAUCAAGUUUUGUAUUCACAUCUUACAAUAAGGUAAUGGUUGCAAAAAAUGAUUUGGUAUCGUAGGCCUGGAGGCUUUGGAGUAAUGGAACAACAUUAGAACUCGUGGAUCCAACUAUUGUAAAUAAUUACCAUAACAGUGAAGUGAUUCGAUGCAUCCAUAUCGGUCUUUUAUGUGUUCAAGAAGAUCCUGUAGAGCGUCCGACCUUGUCAACCAUUUUGAUGUUGCUCACUAGUGAUACAGUGACUUUACCAAUGCCUCGGCAACCAAGUUUUUUUCGUUCAGAGUAGACCCGAAAAUAACCUGUUUGAUUUUGAUCAACCUAUGACAAACAAGUUUGUUGCAGGGUCUAUUGACAAUGCGUCAAUCACCUAUUUAUAUCCU